Molecule: long non-coding RNA, 594 nt
Filed under: Homo sapiens (human)
Lineage: Eukaryota; Metazoa; Chordata; Mammalia; Primates; Hominidae
Description: non-protein coding lnc-NINJ1-1:3
Source: RNAcentral
GCGCCUCCCUGGAGGCGCCCGCUCCUGCCCGGAGCCCUGCCCGUCUUGGGCCCGCCCUUCCGGGCCCUGCCGCGUUGAGUGGCGGAGUCGGGAUCCAGGUGGCCCGCCGGCCGGCUCAGUCCACCUCCCCGCUCCCGGCCUCGCGCCCCACCCCUUGGAUGAGAAAACUGAAACUGAGAGGGGACGUGACUGAUCCAACGUCAUACAGAAAGUCAGGCCCUGGGGAGUACAGGGCCAGGCCUGGGGCAAAAGGCCGGUGGGCGUCCAGUACGCCACAGGGACCAGCCAAAGGAGGCAGUGCCCAGUGAUGCUUUCCCAAAUCCAGGGGAGAAGGACUCAACGGCCCAACCCAGAGCUGGAUCACAAGGAAGACUGGAAGCUCCACUCCCCCAUGGAGCUUCCCUGUUACCAGAGGACACAAACACACAUCUGCAUGUUGAUCUGAGAGCCCUGUGUGGAGAGGAACUAGGCCCCCAGCCAACAACCAGCAGUGACUCACUGUGAGAGAGUGAAUCAUCUUGGAAGUGGAUCCUAAGCCCCAAUAGAGACUUCAGAUGAAACUGCAACCCUGGCUGACAUCUGACUGCAGUGGCA